GACGAACGCUGGCGGCGUGCUUAACACAUGCAAGUCGAACGGCAAGGCCCUGCUUUUGUGGGCUGCUCGAGUGGCGAACGGGUGAGUAACACGUGAGUAACCUGCCCUUGACUUUGGGGUAACUUCAGGAAACUGGGGCUAAUACCGGAUAGGAGCUCCUGCUGCAUUGUGGGGGUUGGAAAGUUUCGGCGGUUGGGGAUGGACUCGCGGCUGAUCAGCUUGCUGGUGGGGUAGUGGCUUACCAAGCCUUUGACGGGUAGCCGGCCUGAGAGGGUGACCGGCCACAUUGGGACUGAGAUACGGCCCAGACUCCUACGGGAGGCAGCAGUGGGGAGUAUUGCACAAUGGGCGGAAGCCUGAUGCAGCAACGCCGCGUGCGGGAUGACGGCCUUCGGGUUGUAAACCGCUUUCGCCUGUGACGAAGCGUGAGUGACGGUAAUGGGUAAAGAAGCACCGGCUAACUACGUG
RNAcentral lists this ribosomal RNA (468 nucleotides) under uncultured bacterium. RNAcentral describes it as "partial 16S ribosomal RNA". It matches the Rfam family "Bacterial small subunit ribosomal RNA", at positions 28 to 507 of the family's 1533-position model. The record is from RNAcentral.